This 408-nucleotide long non-coding RNA is filed under the name Mytilus galloprovincialis (Mediterranean mussel). Lineage: Eukaryota; Metazoa; Mollusca; Bivalvia; Mytilida; Mytilidae. The record is from RNAcentral.
GUUUAAGUGGAAGUAAAGAUAUAUCUCAAGUAGUACGACAAUUGGACCUUUAAAUCAACGGGGAAUGGUAUUGGUACAGUCAUUGAGACGUGUGAUGAAUAUUCGCAAGAAAACAAAAUCAAAAGAAUGUCUGGGCAGUACUUAGAAUCAGAAAGUCCAGAUCCAUGUAUAAUUGUUUCUGAGGAUUAUUAUGAUCCAACAAAAACUCUGAACAUGCCUCUUUCACAACAAUAGAGAAGAUUUUAGAAAUCAGUUAGGUUUUUUUCCCUCCAAAAUACUAGUAAAUUUGAUUUAAAAUUUGUACCAAUAAAUCCCCCUUGACCCGAUUGCUAAAUAUUCACGCUCACCCCACUUAAUUUGUGUUCACUCCACCAUUUCCUUUAGAAGUGAAUUAUUUUAGUCUCUGCA